GACUCUAAACAACAAGCACUUUUAUAUUGUUGCAAAGCAUACAUAUUCAUUUAUAUGCAUCACAGGCAGCAUUACACACUUCAAAGCACUGACAUGUUCAUGCAAAUUUAUUCCAUUCAAACAAAGGACCUACAUGAUAAUAAGAACACUCUUCGAACAUCACAACCAUUAUUAUAAGGGCCAAUAACUACAUUAUUUCUUCUUUUACUUUAAAUUUCUUCUUGGAAUUAUGCCUUCACAAGAUUACUAUCAAUAUCUCUGGUGCCGUUGUGCAGGUACUCGAUGUAGCCAUAUGGAGGAUGAACUUCUUCAUUAAGUUUCUCAUAUUCAAUGGUCCAUUUGAUAAUAGCACCACCGUUCUCCUUAUCAAUUGCUUGAAAUAUGAGGUUAAACACCUUAAACCUGUGGUCUAUGUCUUCACCGAAAAGCUUGUAGUUGAUUGUUUUCUUCUCUUCAUCAAUAGAUUCAAUCUUCUCAAGACAUUUUUCAACAUUUCCAUCUGUUCUUUCACAACCAAUAUUAUCAGACCAGUCACCAAAAUAUUUUAUCAGAGUUAUACACUAAAAAAAGAAGAGUUAUAGCAAUGAACUCGACCACAUUCUUUAUCACUUUAUUUAGACAUUCUUAAUUAUCACUCCAAAUUUCAUAUUCGAAGUUAUGAAAUUAUGAGUGAAUCCUUUAAAAUUUAUUAUUAUCUGUAUGGUAUAUGGCAUACGCCGGGCCGUCGGAAGAAUGAUCCAUCGGUCCAUAUGUUGUGGUGAUUAAAAUAAAUCGUUUUACUUACAAUGAGCUGUAAUUGGGUCAACGUUUAAGUUUUUGUUGUUAGGUCAUAACAGGACCCACGCUUGAAUUAUGGUUAGUGGAUUAAUAAUUUAAUUGGGCCAAUAACCAGACUAUUAGCAAAAUAAUAAAAGAAUGAUUCAAGAUAUUGAUAAUUGAUAACAAUUUUUGAACAACAAAUCGAGGAAAAGGUAAGUUGGUAUUAUUUGGUUCAUCAGGUAGCUUAUAAAUAUAGACCUAAACCACUAAAUACUGAAUACUCAAUUGUGAGCAAAAGCUCUUUGAACACACGUCUAACUUGAGAAUCAGAGUGCCUUUUGCAGGUGCUCACCCCAAUCUGGAAGUGAAGGAAGCCAAGCAAGUGAUCCAAGCAUAAAAAGGCAGGAAGAAUAGGUCGAAAAGGUACAUCUCUGAGCCCUACAAAUAUCCCUACAGAAAACCUUUUCGACGUGUUCUUCCUGCCUUUCUUUGCUUGGAUCACCUGCUUUGCUUCCUUCACUUCCAAAUUGGGGGUGAGCACCUGCAAAAGGUACUCCGAAGCUCAAGUUAGACGUCUGUUCAAAGAGCUUCUGCUCACAAUUGAGUAUUCAGUAUUAAGUGAAAAGUGUCUACCUUUGUGGUUUAGCUCUAUAUUUAUAGGCUACCUAAUGAAUCAAAUAAUACCAACUUACAUUUUUCUCGAUUUGUUAUUUAGAAACCAUUAUCAAUUAUAAAUAUCUUGAAUCAUUCCGUUAUUAUUUUACUAACAAUCAAGUUAUUGGCCCAAUUAAAUUAUUAGCCCAUUAAGCAUAAUUCAAGCGUUGGUCCUGUUAUGACAUAAUAUCAAUAACUUAGACGCUGAUCUAAUUACAAUCCAUAGAUAAAACGAUUUACUUUACUCACCACAACAUAUGGACUCAUCGGUUCAUUCUUUUGACCGCCAGACGUAUGCCAUAUACCAUACACUAUCAAUAAACUACCUAAACAUAAUGAGAUGUCUACUGAACAUUUCAAAAUGUUUGUUGAACUUUUUUUUCAAGCAAUUUCGGUCUUUAAUUGAAUUUUAAAUCUUAUUCAAUUUCAUAAAAUUAAUUUAUUUGCAUAAAAAUAUAUGUAUUUCGAACAUGAAAUUAAAUAUUAAUUAAAUUUUAAUUAAAAAUAAAAUUUACAUUUAUUUAUAUACUAUAAAUUGAUAUUAUUUUUAAUGAACAAAUUGAUAUAUAUUAUAUUUAAUGAACGUGAAAUAUAAAUUGAUAUUAACAUGAAAUUUCUAUCUAUUUAUAAUUUGUUUUCAAUAAGAAAACAUAUGAUAUGACCAAAUAAUUUAUAUAUAAUGUACUAACUCACUCAUCUCUAAAGACAAGUGGAACUAAGUCAGUAAAUUCCUAUGAAAAUUAUACCUUUAAAAUGAUACAUAAACCUAAGACAAUUACAGAAUACACACAUACACAUAUGUAAUUAUAUAUAUAUAUAUAUAUAUAUAUAUAUAUAUAUAUAUAUAUAUAUAUAUAUAUAUAUAUAUAUAUAUAUAUUGAAAGAAAAAUAUAGUUAAUGGUGAAAGUCUUCUCAUAAGUUUUGUUUGCAUAUUAAUUACCUAUUUUAUAAGUCCAGUGUUUGACGGUCUCAUGGUGAUGCCAGUCUUCACCCUGAUGAAGCUGGGCUGCAUGAAUACUAUCACUUAGGUGUUGAACAUCAUGGAGGCUUUUUGCGAAGAGGUUGUACCACUUUUCAGCAGUUGAAUGAACACCAAUUUCAGUGGUGAUUCUACCAAAAUGUGUCAUGAUGAUGAAGAAAUAAGAUAGAAGCAAGAAAUUGAGAGAGCAAGGAUGAGGAUGCUCAAGAAUAAUGCAUCCAUUUAUAUAGUAACAUAAUCCACCUAACUCCUCACAGAUUAUUCAAUUGGGAUCUCUGUCAGUAAACCCUAGAAAUUAAUGAAAGAUAAUUUUUUUUUUAUUUUCUUUUAAAAACUUAUAUAAAUUAGUUUAGAAGAGAGAAAAAGCCGGCAGUUUUGUAAUUUAAUUUAUAAUUUUUAUUUUUAUUUACAUGUUAUGCUUAUUAUUGAUUUACUAUUUAAAUUUUUUAAUAUGAAAUUAAUUACUUUAGUUUUUUUUUCUAUCAUAAAAAUUGUUGAAUGGGACAGUUUACUAAUAAUGGAGUGUUGCACAAUACAAAACUCUAAUCAGUUUCAGAAGUUCUUAUGGAUAUGGAUAUUCUAGGAGUAAUUUCCACCGACAAGAAAGUAGGUUUAGAAAAUGAUGUUUAUGAAUCGCAUUCAAUAACAGUAAAUGAAAUUCAAAUUAUUCAGAUUUUAUUAAUUUAAAUUCGUUGAAAUUUACUCCUGUAACAUUUUAUUUUUCUUAAAAUAAAAUUAAUUUAAUAUAGAUGUUUAUUUUAUUUAAUUAAACUAUUUAAUUGGACUUAAAAAGUAAAAUAAAGUGUUGUGUAAAAAAGCAAAUGAAAUUAAAAUAAGUUGUCAGAGAGUAAGAGAAAAAUAGUCAGAAUUAAUUGGACUUGGUAUCUAAAAGAAUCAUAGACCAUUUAUAUGUUAUAUAAAAAGGAAAUACAUCUUUUUCCUUCUCAUUCCAUACUUGUUCAUUUUUGGUACAUGACACAUGAAGACAGAGAUAUUCUUUUAACCUCAUUAAGAUCAUGUUAUAUGUUUUUUAAAGCUUAUAAACAGGGAAAGUAAAUUGUGCUCAUUGUUUUGUGUCAGAAAUCUUGAUAAACCUUUUAUAUCUCAUUAAUAAAUCUUGUUAUAUAAUAUAAAUCUUGUUACAGUUAAAUAUUAUUGACUAAAAUAUAAAUACCUAAAAUAAUGAUGAAAAUGAGACAAGUUAAAAUAUCUAUAUUAUGAUUAUCGAAUUAAAUAAGAUAUUAAUAUAAAAAAGUAAAAAACGAAAAUAAUCUUUUCAUUGAAAUAAUUAAGAAUAAAGGAAACAUAACACCAUCUCUUAGAGACAAGACUAAAUGCAGUUUAGGAUUUCAAAUUUUGAAGCCCGAAUGAAGAAAGCAAAUGAAAAUCUCAAACAAAUCAUAGGUUAAUAUAGGUUUUAGGAAGACGGUAACUCAAGUAUGAAUUCCUCUUUGCCUGUGGUGGACCGUAAUAUUAUUAGUCGGAGUUUUACAUACUGCUAUUCACUUCACUGAUCCACACAACAAUUGUUGCAGCUCCAUUGUCACAAAUGGUUCUGUUAAAUCGAAACGGAAUAUAGAAGAAUGAAAAUUAGAAAGGAAAAUGAAAGAACAAAAUAGGAAGAAAGAAGAAAGGAAGAAAUGGAAUUACAUGAUACUAAGAAGUUUCGAGAGGGUGAAAGAACUGCGGAAUUUUGAAAGGACGAAGGGAAUGAAAAAUUUGGGAGAGGUAAAAAAUUUUGGGGUACGGCUUAGGUAUAUAGAUGGUUUUGGAAUUUGGAGAAAAAAUUUAGGUAUAAAAUUUUGAAAAGGGGUAAUGCUUAGGUACAGAUUAUUUUGGAAUUGGGGAGAAAAAAAUUAGGUAUAAAAUUUUGAGAGGGUUGAAAUGUAAAAGAUACGAGAAGGAAAGGAAAAAAUUAUUAUAAUACGAGGAAGUUAUAAACAUUUUUAGAAAAAAAUUAAAAUCCUCACUGUAAUAUUCAUUUAAAGAUACUAGUGCAGAAAAGGCUUUAAACGUAUGUUAUUUUGGGCUUUUAACGUCUUUUUCACAACCAACGUCAUUAUGGGUGACGUUAAUGGGACGUUGAACUUCCAUAUAACAGACAUUUAUAUUAGUGUCAUGUCCGACGUCACUAAAUGUCUGUGUAGGGCUAACCCGACGUUUAAGGGCACUGUAUAGACGUCGGAGUAAGCAUUAACUGACGUCUAAGAGCACAUAAAGACUUCGAACAUGUUACUAACCGUCGUCUAAUGUCACUAUAGACGUCGGUGUAUGCAUUAACCGACAUCUAACAUAGUCAUUGUAUUUUAGUGUAGUUUUGUUCCUGUCUUUGGAUAGCCUAGUAGCACACUCUGUCUUUGCUAGUUUCCCCCAAAAAAAAAGCUUGCGUCUUUUGAAUUUCUCAUGACAUUUCAACCCAAAACCGAACCUGGGUUCUUGCUUAGUUCCAUUUUCAACCGCAAGAGGGAAAACUUACGGUGAAACGAUAACUAGGCAACGACCCAAGGUCAUUUUUGGGUCAAAACGCCACAAGAAAUCCAAAAGACGCCGCUUUUUCUGGGAGGCAGCUAGCAAAGGCAGAAUGUGGUACUACGUUACCCCAAGAGAGGAACAAAACUGCACUAAAACACAACACAAGGAAAAUAAAUUUUAAUCAGUUGAACCAGAAGAUAAUAGAUGAAAGACUAAUAUAAUUGGACUGAACAAAGUUUAAAUGGUUUAAAUAAAAAAACAAGACGCACCUGGAAUGUAAUGCCACAAGAGAGAAAAAGGAGAGGAGGAAGACGAUGAUGUUAUUAGAAACUAGAAUGCAAUGCCGCAAGAGAGAAAAAUGAGAGGAGGAAGACAGCGAUGUUAUCAAAAACUGGAAUGCAAUGCCGCGAAACUACAAGUCUACGGUUUAUUUCACAUGACAUGCAGCGUCGGUUGGUACAGAAACCAACGUCUAUAACAUUUUAGACGUCAGCUAUCUCACUAAUAUGACGUCCAAGAUAACUUUUAAUCUGCCUUUUGCAUGCACAUUAGACGUCGGACACACGGGACGCCGACGUCUACGACACUGAUCGGAUUGACCUUUCAUUUCCUGUCAGGGAAGUAGACGACGGUUGUCUUGGGGAGCCAACUUCUAUAACAUUUUAGACGUCGACGCCCUGUUACUGGACGUCGAAGUGCCUGCAAGUUUGGUGAAUAACAUUAAUUACAGGCACAUAAACGUCGUGAUGGAAUCCUGUCUCAUGUAGUCCUCUUUUUACAUUUUAUUGUAUCUGUAGUGUAGCUUGCAAGGAGCAUGGGUCACUAUAAAUACCCAGCUCCUCACUUGUACUAUUCACUUUUGAGAUUAAUGAGAAUAGAAUUUUCUAAAUUCAGAAACUAUUCUCUUGAAAGUUAGAAGGCUAGAGAGUCCAAAGACUCCCUCUAGCCACCUUCCAAGCACACCUUAUUAUUUCAUUUUUCCAAUUACUCCACCAUGCUUCUCUCUCCUCCACGGAGAUCCAUUACUCCACUGCCACAAUCCUUGUGCCUGCGUCAACGUUACAACCACGCGUCCUCCUCUGACUAGUCUGUUCUUCUCUGAUUCUGCGUCGAUAUCGAGUUUUCGUCCGAUUUCUCUCUUAAUCUAGAAGUUGUUAACAUAUUCCGCUGCGUAUCUCUCGUCGGAGAAGCUUGGAGGAGCUUUACUGGCCUUCACGUCGCGCCAAUCAGACAGCUCCUCAAGGCGUUUUUGCACUAGUGAGAGUCAGAGGAAAUCAUCUGAAGUCAUCAAUUUCUAGAAUUUUUUAUAACUUUCAAUAAAAUAAUCUUUACUAAAUAACAUUCUCUUUUGUAGUAAUCUUAUUUAUUUGUCUUCGUAGACUCCAAAAAAAUUCUCACAUUAAAACCAAAUUAUAAUAUAUAAAUGAGAUGUAAACUUUAUUUUUCAAACUAAUUUUAUGAAAUUGAAUUAAAUUUAAAAACCAUUUCUUAAUAAUUCAUACUAUCGCCUAAGUCAUAUUUCCUUUUCCAUUCAGUACCAAAUCAUGAAAAUGGUACUUGGGUUGAUUGUGAUGUACUGGAUUCACAUCAAUCCAUCUAUCACACAUGUUACAAUCUUUUUGAACUAUUUCACAGGAGAUAAAAAAAAAUGGUUACAUAUUUCUUAUUUCUCAUUAAUCCUACCCCUACUAGUUAGCUUUGUCCUCGUUGAUACGUUAUCUAACAAUACCUCCAUGUGAAAUGUUGCACGGUUGAUAAAACCUUUAUUCUACAAAAGGUGAUAGAUAUAUUAGUGUCCUCUCCAGUAUAAUUUUUCUUUUUGGCAUUUUCAUAUAAGCAAAUUUAACCAUGUAUUGUCAUGUAUCCUCUGUUUCCUUAUCGAAAGUCGCACCUACAAUAAAAUUUAUUCUUGGGCGUUUUCCCUCAAACAUUUCUUAGUCAUUAUUUCACCUUCCUAAUUCCUCAAAUGCUUUUUCUUUGCAUUUUGAAAUCUCAUACAAUCUAUUAGUUGCAUUUUACCCUGUCAUUUAUCCUCAUAUAUCUCAGUGCAUACUCCAAGUAUUGUGUAGUAUUAUUUUUUUGUUAAAUAUGAUUGAAUAUUUUCAUUCAUUAUUUCAUCAAUACCAUAGAUUUACAAGUAAAAAUUUAGAUUUCAUUUCAUGGUUCACUUUAAUAUAUUUGUAAUAACAUGUUUCCUUAUUUAUUUAUAAUAAAUAGUAAAUUAUUAUUUUUAAAUAUGUACUUUAAAUUGCUGUUCUGAUAAGCUACUCAAAUGUAUGAUUAAAAAUUUACAAAAGAUUGUGUUAGGCUUUUCAAUUCUUUUAAAUGUAUGUGAGUUCAUCUUUAAGCUUGUAAUAUCAUAAUUAUGUAGGACAAGCCAAACUAUUUAACCCAAACAUUUUAUGCGAGUCAUCUACUCCAAGGUAAUUUUGAUAGGUCAAAUGUGAGAUGGGUCAAAACAGGACAUGUCCAAAGCAUAACAUGGCGAUUUGUAUUGCCACUCUAUUUACACCCAUAUUGUUCACAUAUAGCUAAUAAAAUAUUUGAAGAUCUUUUCCGUUAAUAUUUAGAAUUAGGCACCAACAUUUAUUAGGCCGAAGGGAAUUUUUCCAUAAUGAUAGUUUCCUUUUUCCAUGAAAAUGUAAUUUUCUCUUUGUUGUGUGGAAGCAUUUAGAUCUGAUUGUAUCUAUAUUAUACAUUUAAAAAAACUCCACAUUUUUUUGCCUCACCGCAUACUAGCUCUCAAGUUUAAUGAAGAUUAUUCAUGGGUAUGCUUUAUUUAAGUCUAUGCAAUUAGUGCAAAUCUUCGAUUUGUCUUUGACUUUUUAACUAUUAUUAGCUAAUUGGGUGGUAUAGUGAUCUACUAUGAUGCAGUUAGAAGCUUAUCCACCUCUUCUUUAGCCAAUAUCCUCCUUCCAUCUUCUAGUUUCCUUUUCUUAUGAGAUAUUGGUUUGACCUCUUUGUACAAAAAAAACUUAUAACACAUGACUUGUCGAUCAAUACCGUACAUAUCAAUUGUCAUCAAGCAAAAAAAUAAAAUUGACAUUAUCCAUGAGAAUUACAAUUACGAUCACUAGUAAAAAAUAGGUUUUAUAGAGCGCACAUUAUGUCACGGUUUACCAGAAACCGCCGCAUAAUGGUGUGCGGUGGUACUUUGGUAAAUAAUUCGAACAUAUAUGUCGCAGUUCCCCUCCUAACCGCGACAUAUACCCCAGUCAACCAUCAGUCUUUGGCGCCACAUCAGGAAAAAAAUUUAAUAACAUGGGAAUAGGCCGCGGUUCUCUGAACAACCACGACCUAUUCCCCCUGCUACCUACUGACAUUCCCCAUCAGUCAGUGUCAACACCCAAUUUCGUCCGGGUGACUAUAAUAGGACUAAUUUUUAUUUUUGUCUUAUUUUAUUUUUAUUUUAUUAUUUUUAAUUUUUGUUUUACUAUUUAGUAUUUGAUUUAGUUUUUGGAUUUAAUUGAAAAAGAGAAAAGAAAACAAAACAAAAAAAAAGAAACAAGAAAAAAAAGGAAGGGAAUUAGAAUUUUGAUGUUGUCGUUUUGUGAAAAAAGAGAGAGACAACGUGGUCUGGAGAAGGAUGAGGCCGAUUUGGUUGGCAGGGACACAACAAAGGCGAUUUUUGGAUUUGCAAUUGACAAAGGGUUUGCAAGGAAAAACAGUUAAAGUAAGGGCAGAGAGGAUGAAGACAAAGAAGAAGAAGAAAAAAGCAGAGUGAGAAUCGAAAAAGGGGGAAUGGACUUGGAUGGCGAGGGGGAGAUUAGCUGAAAGGGGGGAAGAUAACGAAUAUUUCAUCCUCAACCACAGUCCGAUCCUCUGGGGGGAAUUUUCUCAUUUUCCAUCAGACCCACCUUUCACCUCGGACCAUUCGCCAUGGCCUCCAAUACCCACCAUAUUCAUCUGAGGCCUCCAUAAUCUUAGGGCAGCACCUUCAUUCCUUACACACAACGUCUUCAUAAUCAUCCUUCAUAAUUCAUCACACAGAACUCACAUUUACCCAUCACCACAAUUCGUCCUCCAUUAUUCACCUCUCACAGACACCACGCCUCAUCAUUCCAACCAUCAUAUUCUAUCACCCUUCCCGAUCAAGGCACUGAUAAUCAUUCCUCCGUUUUCGACAAAGCUCACAGAAGCAUUGGCGAAUCCAUAGAACCAUGCACUCGAAAUUAUGCCGACGAGAUCACACCACUACCUGUUUUCCCAUUCACGCACCAUUUAUUGGUGCCAUUCUCUUCAUUUCUUUCCUAUCAUACCAACCAACCUUAAUGCCUUCAUUAGAGACAUCAUACACUACUCACUCAAAAACAGAUUAAUGGCUAUCAUCAUUCCCACCCUCUGGCCAUUCCUACUCUUCCAUUCUACACCCUCAUCACACAUAAUAGAAAACCUCAUUUCCUCACUUCCUAAACUCCAUCUUCAUCACCCAUUAGGAUCUUCACCCUCAACUUGCAGUCAACCAAAAAAAAAAUGAAAUCAACCAAGCAAGGACAGAAAACCCAUUUUUCCUCUAUCAUACACACUACUCAAUUCCUCUAUGAACUCUCACAGAAAAAACAUAUCCAGCAACAACACGCUCAACUAGUCUUUGAUUCCCUUUACCCCUGCGUCAACCAUCACUGGCCCCUGUCACUCUUUCACCUGCAAUAGAAACAACACAAUAUUUCAUCUUAUACUAGAGCCAUCUCCAAUCAUCAGCAAAAAUGGAAUCCUCAAGCAGGAAGCACACUAUCUUCAGCCACCGCGUCGUGGUCUAAUAUUGGUAAUCAACAAUAACGGCAGGGAGCUGCAUCUCCCAGUGGUGAAUCGGUUAGAAAGCAAGCCUAAUUCGAAGGGAGAAGAGGAAGCCCCACACGCUCCAGUAGAGAGGAAACCAGCAGCGAACAACACCACUGGCGUUGCCCUAGCCCGCGGCAGGCUCGACGGCGGCUACGGUGCGAGGGGAAGCCCCGAUGGUGACCGGCGUCGUCGCCAGCGGUCCUCAUAGUGAAUAGCAUCACGACCUAAGGUAGAGGGAGAAGAGAUUCUUCUCGUGCAAAGAGAGGAAGGUGAAUAGAGAGAGGUGCGGUGGCCGACAGAGGUGUCGUGGCGGCUGGCGUUUACCCUAACAACGAAAAAGCUUGGCGUGGUGGCCGGCAGGGUCCAUGGCAGUGACCGGUCAGCGGAGGCAGUGGUGAGUGCUCGCGCAGGAGAGCCAAAACCUCCUUGGGCAACCUUCUUCAAAGGAGACCCUAGGUCUCUGGACAACUUAGUUUCUUUUGGAUGCAAGUGGAGAGGGUAAGGAACCUGGGUCGCGGAGUUGAAUGCAAACGAGGUGAAGUUGCUGAGACCCCCAUGAGUUUCUGAUGAGGUUAAGGGCCUUAGGCCUAGUAUGGAUUGUUUCCUUUCUUCCUGCGACCAUGCACAACUCAAUUUGCACCCACUUUCCAUUUGGGUUGUAGCCCAUUCCGCUGCUGCAAACAAAAAAGAAGAAGAUUGGGCCUGGACAGGCUAUUUCGCACUGCACCCCAUUUUCAGCCAUACACCCCUNACAGACUAAGGUUGGAGAGAGAAGGCUUGGGCUUAAACCAGAAGAGCUUCAAUUUUAUUCAACACCUCUGGUUUUUAUCUCUGCACUCCUAUUCUUAUUGGGCUUGGACCGUGGUUUUUUUUUAUUAUUUGUCUUUGCUUUUUAUUUUCUUUAACUCUAGUAUUUGUCUUAUUAUUGUGUGGUGUUAUAUUCAUUUAUUAAUAAAAAUAAAAACAUAAAAAUAUAAAAAUAAAAUUUCUUUUAUAAAAUAACAAAAAUAUUUUAAAAGGUUCAAGCACACGUGCGACCAUUCGCGUCAGCCUUGUGUUGAAAACCUUUUUCUCCUUCUUUUAAAAAUAAAAAAUUACUAUUUUUAAAAGGUUUAAGCACACGUGCGACCAUUCGCGUCAGCCUUGUGUUAAAAACCUUUUUCUUCUUCUUUUAAAAAUAAAAAAAUAUAUUUUAAAAUGUUUAAGCACACGUGCGACCAUUCGCGUCAGCCUUGUGUUGAAAACCUUUUUCUCCUUCUUUCAAAAAUAAAUAAAAAAUAAUUAAAAAAUUUAUUAUUUUAAAAAGGUUUAAGCACACGUGCGACCAUUCGCGUCAGCCUUGUGUUAAAACCUUUUUCUUCGUCUUUUAAAAAUAAAAGAAGUUAUUUUCAGAGGUUUAAGCACGUCAGCCUUGUGUUGAAAACCUUUUUCUUCUUCUCUUAAAAAUAAACAAAAAUUGUUUUAAAAGGUUAAAGCACACGUGCGACCAUUCGCGUAGGCCUUGUGCUAAAACCUUUACCCUUUUCUUUUUAUAUAAAAAAAAAUCUUCAAAAACCAAAAACAAUCAAUUCUUAAACAUUUCCUAAGCAAUUAUCCAUAACUACGUGAUCCUUGAUUCUCCAUCCAAAGUGGAGAUACGUAGGAGCAAGGCUAGUCCUUGUUAGGCUCACUUUCCCAAAAAUCAAAAUUUUCCAAACAAACUUUCCAGACAAAUUCCUCAAACAAAAUUUCCAACCAGUUUUAAAGAACUACGUAACUCUGAUUUCUCAGUCCAACUAAGAAUACGUAGGAGCAAGGUCAAUCCGUGUCGGGCACAAAAAACACAAAAAAUAUUUUGUUUUCUUUAGAGUUUUAUUUUUUAGGGGAAAUUAAACAUUUUGCAAACCACAUCAAAUUCGCGUAUUUAGUUAAAGGUACCGCCUUAGGGCAGGCGUUGUGGGGGUGCUAACACCUUCCCGACACGUAACCAACUUCCGAAACCAGAAUUUGGUUUUGUAGACUUUGCCUUAUCAUUUUACGGAUUUUCCGUAGUUUUCCAGAAUAAACUAUGGUGGUGACUCCAAAAUCUCUUUUUUCUUUUUUCCAAAAUUAUUUUCUUUUUUUGGAUCGUCGUCCCAUCGCGAUUUUCCGGUUGCGACAGUCAGCCCCUGCAAUAAAUUGGCAGGGGAAUAGGUCGCGGUUCUCUAGUCAAUCGCAGCCUAUUCCCUUGCCAAUUUAUUGCAGGGGCUAACUGAUGGAGAAUGUCAGAAGGUUGCAGGGGGAAUAGGUCGCGGUUGCUCAGAGAACCGCGGCCUAUUCCCCCUGCUACCUUCUGUCAUUCCCCAAAAGGCAGUUGGGAAGGCAGUUGAGGGAUUCAGAACAUCGGGGAAUAGGCCGCGGUUGACCUGAGAACCGCGGCCUAUUCCUUGAUCUGAGUAAAUUUUAAAAAUUUCAGAGAAUAUGUCGCGGUUGGGCGCUCAACCGCAGUAUAUAGUUUAAAAAAAUUUUCAAAAAUGUCAUUAUGAAUUAUUUUUUUUCAGAUGAAUAGGCCGCGGUUAAGUGUAGAACCGUGGCAGAUUCUCUUCUGAAGGUUAAAAAAACAAAAAUCACGAACAGUGUCGUCUCCUACAUCGUGAAACAAUUUCAGAAAACGCUGCUUGCUUCUUCGUCGACGAUGCACCGCCUUUGCUUCAAUUUUCCAUCGUUUUGCACCGAUUAAACUCAAAUUCGUUCGGUUCAUUUGCUAUUUUCAACGUCAGGGAAGAGUUUUGACCGAUCAGAAUCGUCAAUCUUCCACUUGGAAAUCGUGAACUUCUAUUGCCGUUCAUCUUACGUCGUGCCAUUGUCGCACCAUCCUUCUCGCCGUGCCAUUGUCGCGCCAUCCUUCUCGCCGUGCCCAUUCCAGGUAUUUGAUGCCCUUCAUCGUUUUUUAUUUUUUUCAAUAUGAUUUUUUCAUUUUUUUUGCAUGAUAACAAUUACUGUUGUUUGAUAAUGUAGACAUAGAAAAUAUAUUGUUUUGGUAAUUUAGAAAUAUUAGAAUUUUUAUUAGAAUUUUUAUAAUUAUUAUAAUUAUUAAAAUAUGAAAACAUAGAAAUUGUAGAAUUAUGAUAAUUCGUAAACCUUAAAAUAUUUGAGUAAUCACUAGGUGAAAUCAUAAUGUUGGUAUGUAUGAAAUUGCAAGUUUGAUUUUUAGUAGCUUAUCCUUUUAUGUAAAAUUUAGGAAUGGGUCGAAAUUGGAUUAAUUUACCACGUAUUAGUGCUGAGUACGAGAGAGGUGUAGAGGAAUUUAUACAAUUUGCGCAACGUAAUGAGGGGAGAAGUGAUGAUGAAGUGAAGUUUAGAUGGCCUUCUGUGAACUGUUUGAAUGCGAGAAAGUUGAACGCAACCCAAAUUAGAGAACAUCUUAUCUGUGAUGGUUUCCUAAGAUGUUAUACAACAUGGAUAUGGCACGGCGAAGAAAUGUACUUUCCAACUGACUCGCAAACUGAAAAUGUUACUAACUCCACCAUGGAAGAAGAUCGACCGGAUGAAGACAAAUUGGAGGACAUGAUCCGCGAUGUCGGCGUAGAAAAAUUUUCCAAAGCUCAUGUGUAUGACACGAUGUCGACUGAUGCGGAAACACCUUUGUAUGUCGGUUCAACUAAGUUCACACGUUUAUCAGCUGUGUUAAGGCUCAUGAAUUUGAAGGCGAGCAAUGGAUGGACUGAUAAGAGUUUUACAGAAUUGUUGACGUUGUUGAAUGAAAUGUUGCCAGAUGGAAAUACACUACCCACUCGUAAUUAUGAUUCGAAGAAAAUUCUUUGUCCAAUGGGUAUGGAGUAUAAAAGGAUACAUGCUUGUCCCAAUGACUGCAUUUUAUAUAGGAAAGAGUUUGAAUUUUUGACAAAGUCUCUAAAAUGUGGCUUAUCACGAUACAAGUUAAAAAACAAUAGUGAAGAUAAUGGUCAGAUAGAAAAAAAUGGAUCUGCUUUGAAAGUAGUUUGGUACCUUCCAAUAGUGCCCANACUUAAGCGUUUGUUUGCGAAUCCCAAAGAUGUUAAAAACCUUAGAUGGCAUGCAGAUGAGAGAAAAAUUGACGGGCUGCUUCGUCAUCCAGCUGAUUCAAAGCAAUGAAAAAAUAUCGAUCGUCAAUUCUCCAAGUUUUUUGUUCCAUUGUUCAAUUGUAAGUGGUUUGACAAUAAGAGUGGUGUGAAAAUAGAUGAAUCAGGUAUGACACUGGUUGAUUUUCGAAAGGUGGGUUACCGAGACGAACCGUUUAUCAUGGUACAUCAAGCAUCUCAGAUUUUUUAUGUCAAAGAUCCUAUGUCUAACCAUUGGUAUGUUGCUCUUCAAGGCAAAAAACAAAUUGAAGUUAACGAAGACAAUCUGAUUAAUAUUCAUAUUGCUGACAACCAUUCAUUUCAAACUAUAACAAAUUUGGAUUUCCAAUCUCUAGUUGACGACGAUGCACAUGCAAUUCGGUCAGAUCAUGAUGAGGGAAUAUACAUAUUAUGAAUCCAUAUCUUUAUGUAUGAAUUUUCAAUUUCUAUAUAAGUAUUUUAUUAAUAUCACAUAAGUUUUCCUUUUAUAUAUUUCCUAUGAUUACUAUUACAUGUUUUGUUAAAUUAUAUGAUAUUACAUAAGUCUUUUAUUAAUAUUUCUUGUUGCUAUUUAUUUUGACAGAUAUAUGGCUGAUCAUCCACAUUCUUCAGGGGAUUCGGCUCCCCCUACCAGAUCCACUAGAGGACCCACUGCGAUGAAAUAACUUUUGAUCAGAAAGAAUAGUGGUGCAAGAACUCCAGUGAAUGUGAACGUCAUCACGGGUGUGGCAACUGGUCCCUAUGCAGAUGACUUCCGAUCAUACCUUGGAGUAGUGGCACGUGAUAGGAUUAGUAUUCUCACUCCAUCUUUUGAUCAUGUGUCCGAGGUUGAUCGGAACAUUAUAUGGAACGAUAUAUUGGUAAGUUAGUUAAUAUCAUUUGAAUUAAAAUUUGUUUAUAUUGAUAAUUUUGUACUGAUACAACUUUAUUAUGUUUAUUUCAGCUGACAUUUGACAUUCCAAAAGUCGCAACACUUAGAAAUAAGUGUUUGUCAACUGUUGCUGAAAACUUCAGAAACUUUAAAAGUAAGUUGACAUCAAGAUAUAUCUUUGGACACCUUAAACUUAAGUCUCCAUGUAGUUCAUAUAAGUCAAUUGAUGAGGAGACUUGGCGGCUUUUUAAAGAGAGUCGGAUGUCAGAGGAAUGACAGAUUACUAUAGUUGAUAUUAUUCAAUUCCUCAUUAACAAAUAUAUAUCAUAUGAACUAAUUAAUUAAUGUGUAUGUGACAAGCAAUUAGAAGCAAAGGACAAGGAACAAGUGCUCAUAACAAAAACCCCCACCUAUUAUCUCGUGGUGGGUAUAAGAAGCUUGAGGAGAAAAUCCUCAAGCAAAAGGAAGAUGCUAGACCACCAUCUCAGGGUGGUAGCCCCCCUCAGCCUCCUUCUCCACCUUCUAGACAUGAAAAAUGGAAGUUGGCUCGUAUGAGACCAUCGGGCACCUACUCUUCCGACAUUGCACGGGAAAUUUCUGAAAGAAUUGUAAGUUAUCACUGUUCCUAAAAUAAUAAGUAUUGUAAUUAUACAUACUACAUUGAACUUUUUAAAGAAUAAUGAUGUUUUGUAAUGUUACAGGACUCCUUGGUUGAGCAGAGCUCCCAAGGUCAAUUCACUCCAAAGGGUCGCUAGGAUAUUCUUGCUGCUGCGAUUGGACGACCUGAGCACCCUGGACGUGUACGUGCUGCUGGUCCUGGAGUAAGAAUUAAAGAUUAUUUUGGGAGCUCUUAUCGUCAACCUUCAUAUGCAUACAGCGAAGCACAAAGAGAAAGGAUGACAGAAAAGAUCACAAAAAAGGUCCGAGCGGACCUUAAGGAGGAGAUAAAAAACGAGGUUAGAUCAGAGCUCAAGGCUGAAUUAUUUAGUGAGUUCAGCUCCAUGUUCCAGCAGCGGUUGGAGACCUAUGGCAUGCACCCGGUGCCAUCUCCUGUACAGGAACAGGAACAUGUUGUGCCUCCCACAGGUAAACUUAAUAAACAUUUAUGUGCAAUUAUUUCUAUCUUUUGUAUAAUCUAACUUUUACUCUGACAGGGAGAAGCGGAAAAGGAAGUUGUUCCUCACCAGCCGUCCUAGGGGAUGACAUGGACGAUGGUAGUCCAUGUCUGGUAUACAUUUUAGAAGAUACCGAGACGGUCCUGGUAGCUCGUGGUACACUAUUUAGGUCAGCGACUGUUGUUCAUGGUAUGCAACUAUUAGAGGAUGAGGUGAAGGUCUUAGUGGACGAAAUGAUCAUACCAGAUGCCUUAGUUCCUCUGGCCACAGAAGAAAUUUUCACUGUGGAACAAACAUUGAAGUCCUUUAUCGCUUGGCCUAAGCAUUUGGUUGGUUCAGUUUCUGACCCCUCGGUAUGAAAUUCUUUUUUACACUUGUCAAUUUUAAAGGUUAUUGAUGUCAAAACUUAUCUUAUAUUUUCAUGUAACAACAGACACAAGCACAGGAGAAGAUUCCUCUAUCUGAGGAUCAUCCUCUUGCUUCAUUGCAUCUACUUGCUGACAUCCUUGAAGAUAAGCCUUUGGAGGUUGAGUAUGAUGCUAAUGUAUUUGGGAGAGGCUCUGAGGUCCCAAUAUACCUUCAUAGCCAAGAUGUCAAUGAGCUUGCAUCGGGAACACAAGAGUUGAAUAUUUCAAUUAUUCAGCUAUGGAUGAUGUAAGUCUAUGAGCAAUUAUUUAUAUAUAAAAUUGAUUUAUAUAUCAAGUAUCCUUAUAUCAAAGUUAAUUUUUGAUUUCAGGUAUAUGUCUGGGGUCAGCAACAAGUUGGGGCGUUCUGAUGAUUAUGAAUUCAUUGAUCCCCAAUCAAUUCAUGAAUCAAAUGAUUUUGAUCAGAUCAACACAAAUCUGAUAAGAAGUUUUGGAAGCGGCAAGAAAAUAUACUUUUUGCCUUAUAUAUCCGGGUAAGUGAACUUUGUUAACAUAAUAAAGUUCCAUAUGUGAUUUUAAUAUAUAAUAGUUAAGUUAUUAUGAAUUUCAGGCGCCAUUGGCAGCUUCUUGUUAUGUCUAUGCAAGAGAACUAUGCUUUGUGGUUCUGCUCAUUGAAUAGGCCUCCUCCCACACAUCUCAAACAAGCAAUUGAUCGGUAAGAACCUCAAUGUUUGGACUUUCUUUGUUAUAUAAAUGAAUGCUAAAACCUUUUUUAUAUAUAGUUAUAUUCCAGCAAGUAUGAUGAUGGUUGGGAGAUCAAUUGCUAAUAGUAGAAAGAUUCCUUGGAUUUCUCUCAAGGUUUGACAUAUGCUAAAGCCAUAUUUUGUUAUANUUGUUUUAUUUUAAUGUUAUUCACUAACUAUUUACAACUGUGAUGAUAUAUUGUAGUGUAACAGACAAAAUGGGUCAUAUGAGUGCGGNUACUAUGUAAUGUAUUGGAUGACCCAUAUUGUUCGUUCUCACAUCACAAGAGGUUGGGAAACGGUAAUAUUUAACUUUAACAAAUUUUUAUUUUUUUCCCAAAUGUUGAAUUCAUAUACACUAAUUAAUAUGAAUUGUCUUGUGCAGAAAUUCAAGACUACUACACCAGUUCCUGAGAAGCCACUAUUAUUCAUGAGGAACGCUGCUGCGAAGUAUAUAGUUAGAUUAUACAAUANNUCUUANUUACUAGAUUUAAACAUUGNAUUUGAUUAGAUUGUAUUUUAUUAGACUUUGUACUUUAUUUGAUGUUAAAAUACAUUUCAACAUGUGUUUGUUCUGUUGAAAAUGAAUUUGAACGUGUAUUUGAUAUGCAGGUNNNNNNNNNNNNNNNNNNNNNNNNNNNNNNNNNNNNNNNNNNNNNNNNNNNNNNNNNNNNNNNNNNNNNNNNNNNNNNNNNNNNNNNNNNNNNNNNNNNNNNNNNNNNNNNNNNNNNNNNNNNNNNNNNNNNNNNNNNNNNNNNNNNNNNNNNNNNNNNNNNNNNNNNNNNNNNNNNNNNNNNNNNNNNNNNNNNNNNNNNNNNNNNNNNNNNNNNNNNNNNNNNNNNNNNNNNNNNNNNNNNNNUCGCAGUUGUAACCGCGGCCUAAAGUCUCUGACUUACUACCGCGACUGAAUAUGCCACGGUUCGUAAACCGCGACGUAUAGUGAAAAAUAACCGCGGUAAAAGCCCCUCGCUGCACUAGUGGAUCUUUUCAUUUUGUCACACAAUGAUGAUCUUAAGUUUUUAUUUUUCCCAAGUUGUCCCAAUUGGGAAUGAGUCAUCUCCUUUCUCCUCUCUACUCAUAUAUUGUCAUUGAUCCAAGAAUCAAAGUUCGUCAUAAUCAUCAUUUUCUCUUUCGCAAAUUAUUACAAAUUAGAAGGGGUUUGAUAUGUAGGUGGGUAAUGUAAAAUUCUUGUGUCAUCUUUUGGUCCACAUGCAAAGUCUAUAAAACUUUUUGUAACAAAGUGCGGGGUGAAGACAAUGACAUCAAAGACAUUUAAGGAAGGUCUUCCAAGUAAGAUGUUGCAAGAAGUAUUCAUGUUAAUGAUAUAGUUUCACACUUUAAUAUGUUAAGAAGUAGACUUUAAGCCUAAUUCAACCCCAUAAAAUUGGUUUGUAAUGAGAGGUUUGCACUCAUUGAUAUAUUCUAAAUUGUCGAGGUAUAUACAUCUCGAUCGUGAGAUUAGACAUUAAUGGGUGGUCCGAUAACAGUCUGAUAGCGGGUGAAACAAUAUACCCAACAAACAACAACUAUCGCUGGGAUAGGCUCUAACCAUAACUCUAAUAUCAUGUUAGUAAGUGCACUUUAAGCUUAACUCAACCCCAUAAAAUCGGCUUCUAAGGUGAGGUUUGCACUCACUUAUAUAUUCUAAAUUGGCCUUAUCUCUAGUCGACGUGGGACUUCCAACAUAAUGGUUCAACAAUUGAUACUUCCCUAUCCACACUUUAUUUACAAGUCUAGUUUGUCACUUGUAUCCACUAUUUCACUCAAGAAGUCACCUAGCCAUUAUACAUUUAUAUUUCACUUUUGAUAUCUGAAAGUUCUUGAGGGUCUUGUAUUAUAAUAUAUCAACCAAGCUCCCUUGGGUAAUCAUCAUUUUCAUCAAGAAAAAAUUUCUACUUCAAAAAUGAUGACCAUAAGAUCAUCUUACAAUGGAUGUAUUGCUUGAAUUCUAUAUUAGUAAAUGUAAUGAGAGACUUAUCUUCCUUCUUAGGGCUUAUGAUAUUAUGUCUACCAACUGCAUAACUAAUAGAUCUUUUCUUUACUCUGAGAUAAAGGAUCCUCCUCCUAUGAUAGUGUUAAUCAUCCUUUAAUGAUAUUUUUCUUCUUCUUUAUUUGGUUAAUUAUUCAUCUCCAAUUGAUCAUGGUUUAUAGAAAUGAUUUUUUAGGGGACUUACAAGGACUAACCUUUCAAUCUUAUCUUUCAAAGCAACACAUUUUUCCAUUAUAUGUCUAAAAUUGUAAUAGUAUUGACAAUGUCUAUAGAGUCCAAAUUAGGUGUGUUAAAACUUGUUAAGACUUCAGCAAGUGUAAUGAAUCGUAUCAAGUAAUAUAAGAUUGGUAAGACCAAGUAUCGUUUUCCAAGAGACUCACGACCUAAACAGUUAUGUGAUUACUUAACUACUUAAGACAUCGAUGAAAAAUUUUUGGAUUAUUAAUGCAAGUACAGAAAAAUAAACAUGCAUGCAAUUUGAUCAAUUGAACAGAAGCACAAAAGUGAAGGAAUGAUAAUAUUAAAGAUAUGAGAUAAAUAAGUUGUUGGUGUUUAGAUUUCACCUAGUUUACUCUCAUGCAUAAAGAAUUCUUUUUUUUUAUUAAUGUUAAUGUCACUAUCUAAUUUACUUAAAACCCGAUCCCUCGGCGAAGAAAGUCUAUCCUUAAUUACUAGACCACAAUCCCUUGCAUUCCUAAUAAUUAAUUCUGCAUUACGAUUAGUAGCUUAAGACAACCAAAACUCAUAUCCCCAUCCUUAGGCAAUACUACUUUUGGGAGAGAUUCUCUAGAUCCUGAAUUGUAAGAUAUCUCUCGAUACCCAUGGAAUUCAUAUAUCAUGCCAUGAAUGAGUUAAACAAAGCAAGAAAUGAGCGAAGGAGAAAAACCCUAAAAAUUAAUGAAAGAAGCAUAUAUCAAUAACAAGGAAUCAAUUCAAUACAUGAGAGUUCACAAGGUUUACAUCAUUCCCUAACAACAAAUAGAAUUUAGUUCCCCAUUGUCAUGGUGAAACUAGAUGUACAAUGGAAAUAUAAUGGAAUAUAAACCCUAAAAAUCGAAGAGGAUUUCUCCCGCAUCCAAUCCUGCCUCCAAAGAGUCAAAAAGUGUGAUUUGCGUUUCUUUUGCCAAAAGAUACACUCUCUAGGACGUCUGGGUCUUAAAUAGAUCAUAAAAUUAACAGAAAACAGGUCCAAGCCCACGUUGCCGGCGCUUAGCACCCCAACUUAAGGCGCCCAAGCAUGCUUGCGAGAAUACUUGCGCUCAGCGUCCUUGGAAGUGCGCCCAGGUGUGGAACGACCGAGGAAUCUGGUGCUCAGCGCCCCAAAAAGAGCGUUCAGGCAUGACUGCGAAGCUUCAGUGCUGAGGUCCUUUAUUAAGGGGCAGUCAGGUGUCAAUGCCUGAAAAGGGCGUUCAGGCGUCCUACGAUCUCCCUUUCUGAUGCUUUUUCAGUCCUUCCUGAGUUCCAACUCCUUGGUACUUCAAAUCCUUUUCCAAAAUCAUCUAAAUUUCCUACAAAAUCAAGGGAAUUAGUAAUAAAAAUCAUAAAAGAUAACCACAACUCUCUUUAUUCUCAAACUCAAGCAAAAACCUGAUUUUGAGCAAGUUCUAAGUCAAAAAGUGUUCAUGUAGUAUCAAAAUUAAGUCACCAAUAACGGUGAAAUGAACUGUUCUCAGAACUUUCCCCAAGGUAGGAAGAAGUUUGUGUUUUAUGUCUCUACCAUAAUACAAGCUUUGUUAGAACUAAGGAGAGUGUAAUUCCUGAAUCUAGGAUUUUAAGGAUCACUAUAGUUCUAUUUUCGUCAAUGAGCAUAUUCUUUCUCAUAAGAUUUCUCAGUUAUACCUUUUGACUUAGUGAUGAAAGCUUAAUCUAACAAUGUGUUUUGCUUGUGGCAAAUUUUUAUUGAAUUUUGCUAAUAAUUUGUUGAAAUAGCUUAUAAAAUAUGUGAGCAACUACAUAAAUCGAUUAUUUGUCAUCUCCUUAAUGGCAAAAGAUUGAAUAUCAAUGGGAUAAAAGCCAAUUUGGGUUAUGUACACAUAUGCAUGCUCAUUAAGGUCAAUAACUCUAUAAUAAUGGUUUAUUCAUAUGUUCUUCCAAUUUGGAAGGAUGAUGGCUUCCACGAUCCCUUUUAUAAAAAAGGUAGGGUAUCGAUGAGAUUUUCCUGAAGUUAUAGAAGUUGAAUCCCAAUAGAUAUUUUGAUCAUAUUCACUUAUUAUCAUCGGUCUUCGUUCAACCUUGGUGUUAUUGGGUUUGAGGGGUAAUGUUGAUCGAGAAUGAGUUAGUUCUUUUGACAAUUCUUGUUGAAAGGGGCUACAUAAGGUAUUUGAGUUUUUUUUCUUUCUUACUAUCUCUUUGUCCAAGCUUUUCUUUCACCUUAAUACAUUCACCUCCUCUAUGUUUUCUUCUUCCCUUUAGAUGAUUCAUUUCACUAGUACAGUAAAGGGAAACAACAUCGGUUAUUUUGUUUAUACACAAUGGCUCAUGAAUCGAUGUAUAUACAAGUAAGGCAAAAAAUGGUAGCCUUUUUGCCUCGAUUCAGAACCGAGGCAGUAUAUGGGGGUCUUUUUCCUCAGUUGGUUUCGAACCGAGGUGGUAGUUUCCUUUUUUUCCAAAAAAUGGGAUCUUUUAAUGGAAAACAGAGGCAACGACGAAAUGGAUGAAGGCGGCGAUGAACACCAAAGGUGGCAAUGAAAAACUGAAGGCGACAACGAAUGGCCGAAGGCGGAGACACACGGCCGACGAACAACCGGUGGCGGUGGCGAACGACAGGUGGCAACAACGAACAACCUUUGGGAGAGAGAAAUCGAGGAAACAAUGUUCUCUCGAUAGAAAUAGAGAAAACAAAGAUGAAGACCACACCAGGCACUUCGCAAGAGAGAAAUGGAGGCCACGAACCAACAACUUUGCUUGAGAGAGAGAAUGGUUGUGCGAGGAAGAAGAAGGUUCAUUAGGUUAAAAUUUCUUACGAAGGCGGCCAGUGGUGGAGGCAGCUGCGACGACUAGUGGUGGAGGCAAUGACGACAACCAGUGGUCACUAGUAAAACAUUGGCUUUUUACAGCACACAUUAUGCCACGGUUCACCAGAAACCGCAGCAUAAUGGUGCACGGUGGAAAUUUUGUAUAUAAUUCGAACUUAUAGGCCGCGGUUCAGAGGGGAACCACGGCCUAUACCACAGUCAACUUUCUACCUUUGACGCCACGUCAGAAAAAAAUUAAAUAGCAGGGUAAUAGGUCGCAGUUGCUCAGAUGAACCGCGGCCUAUUCCCCUGCCAAUUUAUUACGGGGCUGAAACGUGGGGAAUGUUAGAAGGUAGCAGGGGGAAUAGGCCGUGGUUCUCAGAGCAACCGUGGCCUAUUCCCCUUGCUACCUUCUGACAUUCCCCAUCAGUCAACCCUGCAAUAAAUUCGCAGGGGAUUAGGCCGCGGUUGCUCAGAGGAACCGCGGCCUGUUCCCCCUACUACCUUCUGACAUUCCCGAAAACGUAGUUGGGAAGGCAGUUGGGGGAUUCAGAACGUUAGGGAAUAGGCCGCGGUUGCUCUGAGAACCGCGGCCUAUUCCCUGAUCUAAAUAAAUUUUAAAUAUUUAAGGGAAUAGACCGCGGUUUGACGCUGAACCGCGACAUAUAGUUUGAAAAAAAAAAAUUCAAAAAUACCAUUAUAGUUUAUUUUUUUUAAGGAGAAUAGGCUGCGGUUGCCUGCUCAACCGCGACCUAUACUACUAUAUGACAGCGAUUUUCGUUACAACCGCGGUAGUAGGUUUUAAAUAGGUUAAAAUUUUUUUUGAACAGUUUCAUCUUAUCCACGCGAUUCUGAAACAAAAUCUUUCUUCUCUGCCUCCAUGCAAAUUUUCACUGUUGUUGCGCCAUCUUUCUCUAUCGCAGACAAUCCUCUACCGUCGCGCCAUCCACUACAGUCCGUCGCACCAUCCUUUGCUGCCGCACCAUCCUCUACCGCCGCGCCAUUCUUUGUCGCCGUGCCAUCUCUAUUACCCCGGGUACGUUCCAUUUUCUUCUCUGAUGUUGAAAUGCUAGGUUUGAAUGUUUGAAUGUAUUCAUUGAAAUGCUAGGUUUGUAUGUAUUCAUUGAAGGUAGUCAUUGAAAUUUUUGUCACUGAGCCGUGAUUUCAAUCAAUAAUCUUAGACCCAAUACUCUCAUAGUGUGUUUCAACUUUGGGAAAUUACCAGUAUCCAUUUUAGUUUGAAAGCAUAGUGAACUUUUUUUAAAAGUAUAAAUAAUUAUUUAAAAUUUAGCUUUAUUAUUACAACAUACAUUCUUUUUAGUUAACUAUUUUUGUAAAUUUUUAAUUUUUGUAUGUUGAAUAUAUGCAAUUAUGUGUGAUUCAAUGUUUGUUGUGAUCAUAAGAAUGCUUAUUAAUUGUAUGAUUGUAUGACUNNNNNNNNNNNNNNNNNNNNNNNNNNNNNNNNNNNNNNNNNNNNNNNNNNNNNNNNNNNNNNNNNNNNNNNNNNNNNNNNNNNNNNNNNNNNNNNNNNNNNNNNNNNNNNNNNNNNNNNNNNNNNNNNNNNNNNNNNNNNNNNNNNNNNNNNNNNNNNNNNNNNNNNNNNNNNNNNNNNNNNNNNNNNNNNNNNNNNNNNNNNNNNNNNNNNNNNNNNNNNNNNNNNNNNNNNNNNNNNNNNNNNNNNNNNNNNNNNNNNNNNNNNNNNNNNNNNNNNNNNNNNNNNNNNNNNNNNNNNNNNNNNNNNNNNNNNNNNNNNNNNNNNNNNNNNNNNNNNNNNNNNNNNNNNNNNNNNNNNNNNNNNNNNNNNNNNNNNNNNNNNNNNNNNNNNNNNNNNNNNNNNNNNNNNNNNNNNNNNNNNNNNNNNNNNNNNNNNNNNNNNNNNNNNNNNNNNNNNNNNNNNNNNNNNNNNNNNNNNNNNNNNNNNNNNNNNNNNNNNNNNNNNNNNNNNNNNNNNNNNNNNNNNNNNNNNNNNNNNNNNNNNNNNNNNNNNNNNNNNNNNNNNNNNNNNNNNNNNNNNNNNNNNNNNNNNNNNNNNNNNNNNNNNNNNNNNNNNNNNNNNNNNNNNNNNNNNNNNNNNNNNNNNNNNNNNNNNNNNNNNNNNNNNNNNNNNNNNNNNNNNNNNNNNNNNNNNNNNNNNNNNNNNNNNNNNNNNNNNNNNNNNNNNNNNNNNNNNNNNNNNNNNNNNNNNNNNNNNNNNNNNNNNNNNNNNNNNNNNNNNNNNNNNNNNNNNNNNNNNNNNNNNNNNNNNNNNNNNNNNNNNNNNNNNNNNNNNNNNNNNNNNNNNNNNNNNNNNNNNNNNNNNNNNNNNNNNNNNNNNNNNNNNNNNNNNNNNNNNNNNNNNNNNNNNNNNNNNNNNNNNNNNNNNNNNNNNNNNNNNNNNNNNNNNNNNNNNNNNNNNNNNNNNNNNNNNNNNNNNNNNNNNNNNNNNNNNNNNNNNNNNNUGUUGAAAAUGAAUUUGAACGUGUAUUUGAUAUGCAGGUUUGUUUUUGUGGUAGUGGAUAUCACAAAAACAGACCUGCUAUUUUAAAAAACUGUAGGAGAAUAUGUCGCGGUUGUUACCACAACCGCGGUAGAAAGUGAGAAUAUGUCGCGGUUGUGGUAGGAACCGCGGUAGAAAGCAGAUCGUUUUUUUUUUUAAAAAAACACUUUUGGCCGCGGUUAAAGCAUGAAUCGUAGUCUAUUCCUGGGUAUUUUACCGCGGUUCUAACUGCGGCCUAUAGUGCAACAAUUUUUUUUUUUUAAAAAAGGAGGGGUUUUGGUUGCGGUUCCUACUACAAUCGCGGUCUAUUCUCAGAACUUUUGACCGCAGUUACAAUCGCGGCCUAUAGUCACUGACUUUUUACCGCGGUUGUAUAUGCCGCAGUUCUGAAACCGCGACCUAUAGGGAAAAACAACCGCGGUCGUUUCCCUUCGCUGCACUAGUGCAUGGAGGCAACGACGGCGGAGCGGCAAAGAGAAGCUAUUCACGCAAGAUGGGAAGCAGCAGUUCACGUUCAAUCUCUGGAAGAAGAAGAAGAGUUAAAAUGUGCUUACUAUUUUACGGUUCUGGAAUAUAGUUAUCUAAAAGGCUAUUACCUCGAUUAUAAACAAAACCAAUCCGUAAACCUUCCAAAAAAAAUUCAAAAUAAAAUUAUAAAUGAAAAAUUUGAAAAUACGUACUAACUAUAGCCCUCAGUUUGCGGUUAAACUAAGGCAUAAAGGGCCUAAGACAUUGGUUAAAAUGGAAUCGAUACAGUAGAGGCUGACGAAAUGGAUUUGAAACGUUCAAAAUUAGAGGUUGUUAGUUUCUGACAAGGCAUACUACCUCGGUUUGUCAAAGAACCAAGGUAUUAGGCCUAUUUCAAAAAAACUGUCAGGUUUUUUGCGUCGGUUGGUUAGAGAACUAAAGCAACAGGCCUAUUUCGAUUGGUUAGAGAACUGAGGCUAUAUAUAUAUAUAUAAUACAUAUAUACAUAUAUAUACAUAUAUAAUAUAUAUAUAUAUAUAUAUAUAUAUGUAUAUACAUAUAUAUACAUAUAUAUAUAUAUGUAUAUGUAUAUACAUAUAUAUAUGUAUAUAUAUGUAUAUGUAUAUACAUAUAUAUAUAUGUAUAUAUAUAUAUGUAUACAUAUAUAUAUAUAUAUAUAUAUUAUAUAUUAUAUAUGUAUAUAUAUGUAUAUAUGUAUUAUUAUAUAUAUAAAUAUAGCCUCAGUUGUUGAAAUAGGUAUAUAUAUAUAUAUAUAUAUAUAUAUAUAUAUAUAUAUAUAUAUAUAUUUCACGUGGUACUUGAUAACUUAAAUAAUGAAAUCAAAGAUGUUAGAAAUGUAAAUCUAGAAUCACAACUGAUUUAACUGUCUAAAUGACAGUUUUCAUUGGUGUAUAUAUACUGUUAUUCUUAAUAAGAAAAAUAAUCGUUUUUCACAAUUCUCUAUUUUUACCUCCUAUGACAUUGUCACUGCCAUUCAAUUGCUACGCUGCCAUUCUAACAUUGGUAUUCAGAGCUUACAGGUUGUCGAACCUGGGGAGUGCUUUCAAGGAAGAUUUUUUUGCAACAAAGAAAGUCACAUUGAGAAUAUGGCAGGGCUGAUACAGAAUAACCUACCUGUGUUUGAUGGCAAGAACUUUGAAGACUGGUGCGUAAAAAUGGAUGCAAUCCUGGGGUUCCAUGAAAUUGACGAAAUUGCAAAGAUGGGUUUAAAGAACUUGCAAAGACCGCUACAGAAGAAGAAAAGAAAGCGAACAAAGAGAACAAAAAAUUGGAUUGUAAGGCACGCAUGAUCUUGCAUCAAUGCAUUUCAGCAACGAUCUUCCAAAAGGUAUCCAAGGCUAAGACAGCAAAGGAAACUUGGGAUAUUCUACAGGAUGGGUAUGGAACUGCGGGUAAUAUAAAGGAGGUUAAACUACAAUCGCUGAGACGACAGUAUGAGCUUCUAAACAUGGGAGAGCAAGAAACAAUCCAAGGUUACAUCGGCAGAAUUCAAGUGAUUGUCAACGCAAUGCGGGCCUGCGAUAAGAUCGUCAAGGACAAAAAGAUCGUUCACAAGAUCUUGCGUACGUUGACACCUCAAUAUGAUCACAUAGUUGUGGCAAUUGUGGAAAGCCGAGACCUUGAAAAGAUGAAGGUGGAGGAAUUACAAAACUCGCUGGAAGCUCACGAACAAAGAUUGUUGGAAAGGAAAGCUGCGGAACAAGAUGCGAUCCAGAUUAGCCAAGCAUUGCAAGCCAAGGUGCAAAAGGGUCGUGGAUUCGGCAGAGGUAGAGGCACAACACGAGGUGGUCGUGGAGGCAGAAACGGAGGAAGAUCCGCUAAUAAUUCGGAACAGAACAAAGAUCUUGAAAGCAACGAACAUGGCAGUUGCAGAGGUAGAGGAAAGUCAAGAGGUAGAGGCGGUAAAAGAAAUACUAACAAGAGAGGUAUACAAUGCUAUACAUGCAACAAAUUUGGUCAUUACUCAAGUGAGUGUUGGCACAAUGAAGACAAUAAGAAAGAAAAAGGUGGUGAGGUGAAUCUUUCCAAAGAAGAAAAUACCUCAGAUUCAGAUCAUGUGGCACUGAUGAACAUUGUUGUGGACAAAAGACAAGAAACACGUGGUGAUAAUGUGCAUAGUGCGUUUGACAAUACCAGAGUCAAGUAUCACAGAAAUAAGAGAAACUCUUCUGGAAACGAUCAUGUGUCAUUGUCUGGAGGAACGAGACAUGCAGAGGAACAUGUGUCAUUACCCAAAGACACAAAACUUGCAGAGGAACAGGUGUCGAUGGAAGCUGUCCCAAAAGAAAGAUGUGUCACAUCUCUAAAUAAAGAUGUGUCAUUAGCUGGGGUCACAAAUUACACACAGGAGGAUAUGCUGUGGUAUCUCGACUCAGCAUGCUCUAAUCACAUGACUGGGAAUUGAAAGUGGUUGAUCGAUUUAGACACGGGUGUGAAGAGUACGAUACACUUUGUCGAUGACAGUUUCGUCCGAGCUGAAGGCACGGGUAAGGUACUGAUUGCACGCAAGGAUGGAAGACCAAUUUACAUGCACAAUGUUCUUUAUGUUCCUACUAUGAAAAGCAACCUUCUUAGUCUUGGCCAGUUGCACGAGAAAGGGUAUACCAUGAAGAUGGAAGAAGGGCAUAUCAAGGUGUUUGACAAAAAGCAACGAAUGAUACUCAAAGCCCCUAUAGCCAGUAAUCGCACAUUUCAUGUAAAUCUGAACACUGCAGAGAUUCAGUGUAUGAAAGCUACAAACAUAGAAGAAAAUUGGUUGUGGCAUUAUCGCUAUGGACAUCUAAACUUUAGAAUUCUGAUGCAACUUAAAGAGAAGAAGCUUGUGAGUGGAAUCUGUGCAAUUGAGGCACCUAAGCAAGUCUGUGAAAGUUGUACUAUGGGAAAACAAACACAUUCUGUAUUCAAGAAGCAUGCUCUCAAAAGGGCGAGACAAUUACUAGAAGUGAUAUAUGCUGACCUGUGUGGACCAUUUGACAUAUCUUCUCUAGGAGGUAACAAAUACUUUCUAUUGGUUGUAGAUGAGUUUUCUAGAAAACUUUGGGUUUAUUUGCUAAAAGAAAAAUGUGAAACUUACACCAACUUUAUCAAUUUUUGUACCAUGGUCGAGAGACAAUCGGGCAAGAAGAUCAAGAUAUUUCGUACUGAUGGAGGAGGUGAAUUCAACUCAGGAGAUAUGGCAAGGUUCUGCACUGGAAAAGGAAUAAUACAUGAAGUCACAGCCCCCUAUACACCACAACAUAACGGUCUAGCUGAAAGGAGAAACCGUAUGCUUCUCGACAUGGUCAGAUGUAUGAUCAAAGGAAGAGAUCUUCCUCGGUAUCCGUGGGGAGAAGCAGUCUCGACUGCUGCAUAUCUGCUAAACAGAAGCCCAACUAAGGCAUUGCCAAGCAGCACUCCAGAGGAAGCAUGGCCAGGGAACAAACCUGAUGUACGACAUUUGAAGAUUUUUGGAUCAUUUGUUACAAGCAUGUUCCAAGUGAAUUGAGAAAGAAACUGGAUGACAGAAGUGAAGUGCUUAUACUUGUUGGAUACCAUCCCACUAGAGCAUAUAGAUUAUAUGAUCCAGCAAAAUCAAAGAUUGUAUUUAGGAGGGACGUGAUUGUUGAUGAAUCUACUAUAUUCAAGUGGAAUGGUGGUGAGCAUAGCACAGAUAAAUCAGAUGACACUUCUAGUACAAUGAUUACAAUUCUGCUGGAUGAGAAAAAUCCUGACAAAACCGAAUCAACAAAUGCCACAGAAAGUGUCAAUACUAGACGCUCACAGAGGACACAAUUUCGAUCAACAAGGCUUACAAAUCAUGAAUUAUUCAGAGAUAAUGCGAUUACAGACACAGGUGAUUUGGUACAUCAUGCUUUACUUGCAGGUACAGAGUCUAUAACUUGGGAACAAACUAUCAAGGAUGAUAAAUGGAGAGAAGCUAUGAUUGAGGAAUUGACUUCUAUAGAGAAAAACAGAACGUGGACGUUGGUGAAUUUUCCUGACUAUAAGAAAGCUAUUGAAGUAAAAUGGAUAUUCAAAACGAAAUAGAAACCUGAUGGGAAGAUAGCAAAGUUGAAAGCUAGAUUGGUUGCCAAAGGAUUCUUGCAACAACUUGGAAUUGACUUCACAGAUCUAUACGCCCCUGUAGCUAGAUUAGAAACGGUGAGGAUCGUGGUUGCAAUUGCCAACUCAAACAAUUGGAGCAUCAACUAGAUGGAUGUUAAAUCUGCAUUCCUCAAUGGUCCCCUCGAAGAAGAGGUUUAAGUAUGCCAACCACCUGGUUUCAUCAAGAAAGGUCAUGAAAUGAAGGUAUUUAAACUCAAUAAAGCUCUAUAUGGUCUUCGUCAAGCACCAAGGGCGUGGAACAAGCAUAUUGACUCAUUACUCAUCAGGUAUGGAUUCAAUAAAUGUGUUGUAGAAUAUGGAAUAUAUGUCAAAUUGUGUGAACAAGCAGGUACCUUGCUGGUGUGUUUAUACGUGGAUGACCUAUUGGUCACGGGGAGCUCAGUGCAAGAUAUCGAAAACUUCAAAGUGAAGAUGAAGAAUGACUUGGAGAUGACAGACCUUGGCGUUCUGGGAUACUUCCUUGGAUUAGAAUUUAUUCAAACCAAAGAGGGAGUACAUAUAAAUCAAAAGAAAUAUAUCAUCGAAACUCUGGAGAGGUUCAAGUUGAAAGAUUGCAACAGCGCAUCUGUUCCUGUCAUUGCCAACAUGAAGCUCUCGCUGCAGCAAGAAGAAAGCAAAGUUUAUGCAACGCUGUACAGACAAAUAGUUGGGACAUUGCGUUACAUUUGUAGCAGUAGACUAGACAUAAGCUUUGGAGUGGGUCUCAUUAGCCGGUACAUGCAGGAUCCCAGACAGUCACACAUGGCAGCUGCAAAGCACAUCCUCAGAUACUUAAAAGGUACAAUUGACUACGGUAUUUACUUCCCUAAGAAAGCUGACGUUUCAACAAACAUUUUGGAUGCAUGGUGUGAUGCUGACUGGAGCGGAGACCAAGUAGAUAGAAAGAGCACUUACGAGUACCUAUUCAAGCUAAUGAUGGGAGCUCCUGUUUCAUGGUGUUCAAGGAAGCAGUCAGUCAUUGCACUUUCCUCAUGCGAAGUAGAGUACAUUUCUGCAGCUGAAACUACCUGUCAAAGCACAUGGAUUGAAGCCAUAUUACAUGAACUAAAGAUCGAACAUCACAGACCAACAUGUUUAAGAAUAGACAACAAAUCUACUAUCAAUCUAGCCAAGAAUCCAAUAUCCCAUGGACGUAGCAAGCAUAUCGAAACAAAGUACACCUAUCUCAUAGAACGUGUGAGCAAAGGAAAAUUGGAACUGAUAUACUACAAUACAGAUGAACAGGAAGCUGACAUCUUUACAAAAGCCUUGCAGCAGAAUAAAUUCGAAAAACUCAGAAGCUCAAUUGGAGUCAAAGCUCUUAGUGAUUUAGAUUUAAGAGGGAGUGUUAGAAAUGUAAAUCUAGAAUCACAAUUUAUUUAACUGUCUAAAUGACAGCUUUCAUUGGUGUAUAUAUACUGCUAUUCUCAAUAAGAAAAAUAAUUGUUUUUCACACUUCUCUGUUUUUACCUCCUCUGUAAUACACACUGUCACUGCCAUUCAAUUGCCACGCUGCCAGUCUAACAAAAGACACUUUAACCUCGAACAAAGUGAAAAUUAUUUGAAGGAAAUUAACUAUAUUGAACUAUUUUUAUAGUUACAGAAACAAAAUACGAAUCCCUUUAUUUGAAUCUUUAAAAUUCUUGUAGGGCCAACCAAUGGAAAAAAAAAAUUAAAAUAUACACAAAUUUGAAAACUAGCAUUAUGCCAUUAGAUGCCAAAAAAGAAAAUUGUUUUUUUUUUUUUGUGGUUGUUAAUAAUUUAUUGAAAUAUUAUUAGAGAAAACGUGUAAAAAGAAGAGCCAAAGAUGGAAGAUGUGGUGAUAGAAGUUGGACUUCCACCAUGUCACAUUAAAGACUUGUUUCCAUCGCUUGUACGUCAAUGUUCUGAGACUUGCCUCAUUAAGAACACUAAUUUAUAUCAAUCAUCCCGUUCUAAUUUAGGAAAUUUUUGCAACACUUAAAUUGAAUCCUCCAAAUUGAGACCAGGUUAGGUUUCUUCUCAUUAAGUAGAAUACGAUACGAACGAGUUCAUAAGUAAAAAAAAUUAAAAAAAAAGAAAAGAAAUUUUUAUAAAUUAAAAUUUAUUUAUGUACAAAUUAAAAGUAAAAUUGUUGAAAUAUAUAAACUAAUUUAUGUAUAGAACCAAUUUUAGGAAGAAAGAUAUAAACUUGUAUUGGUGAAAAAAAAUAAACUAAAUAAAACAGGACACUUGUGUUAUUUUGGAAGGAAGGAUUUGAGGAAGAUUUUUGAGAGAUUUGAUUGAUAUGAUAAAUUAAAUUUUUUAAUAAAUUAAAAAAGAAAAUUUACAAAUUCUCUUUGAUGUUAAAAAUAAAAUAAAAUAAUAUUUAGAUAUGUUAUAAUUAUUUUUUAGAAUAUUUUUUAAUGAAUAAAUUUUUUACAAAAAAAUAAUAAUUGAAAGAAAUAAAGAAUACAAUAUAAUUGGUAUUAAAAAAUAUAAUAUAUUGAUUUUCAAUAUUAAAACUUUAAAUAAUUAAAUAUUUAUUAUUAUACAAUUAAUAAGAUAUGACAUAAUAUAGGACAAGUACGUACAUAAAAAAUACAAUAUGAUUUAUGAUUAAUCAAAGUGAAGUCCUAUAUUCUUAUAAGUAUGCAACCUAUUUCAAGAUAUUAUGUCGGCAUCCCUAUAAUAUAUCUUGUAUGAGAUGAGUGUGAACAAAGAAAAACAUCGCAUUGUCUCAAUAAGUUGUCAUUUGAAAUGCUCAUGCUAAUGAAAAUUAAUGAAGGAAACAAAGGAGGGAAACGUGAAGUUGAGAUAAGAGAUGUGGGGGUUGUAAGGUAGAGAAGUCAGACAAACUCACAUUUGGAGACCUCUUAAAUCGUGUAGGUGAGUUGGAGCUACUGGAGUUGAGAUAUUAUUUCAGGUGAGAUUGAAGCUAUUAGAGUGAGAAGAUACGUUGGGAAAUUUAAAGGGAUUUUAAGAUGUUUUACUUAAUUAAUAAAAUGAAAGUUUUCCCGUGACAAUCCGAGAAGGAGUGUUACACAAAUUCUUUUGUCUCUAGGCAUAAAAUACUUUUUGACCUUUGUUGUCCACACUAGUGUAGAAAUAACUUAUAACGUCACGUGUAUAACGUUUGAGUAUAGAAAAUCUAAUCUUAAAAAUGAUUGGUGGCAGUUUCGUAAAUAAAAAUCCACUUUAGACGUCGGCUUUGGGGGGCCUCGACAUCUAAAUCCAUAUACACAUCAACCCCCUUCGUUGGAUGCAACAAUGUGCGAGAAAGUAAAAAAAAGUUUUUAUUACAUUUAGACGUCCACCCAUCUUCCCCCCAACGCCUAUAGCCCAUUUACACGUCGGCCAACCAUGUUAGACGUUGUACUGGGACCCUCCGGACGGCUUGGAACGCCCGGUCACCAAGAUGGUCAAAUCUGAAGGAGUGUGGAAAGAUUAAGGUAAGAUGAAUUUAAUUAGAAAAGAUAAGGUUUAGGGCUAUUGGGUUGAGAUUGGGCCUUGAUUAGCACCACUCUAAUCCUAAGCCCAUAGCCAACACUAUAUAUAAAAGUCAAAGGUACGAGGUAAGUAGGUUCAUUUAUUGCGUACUGUUAAGUCCCUAACAAGUGUACCAGAUCGUUAUCAAGUAAUAUAUAAACGGUAAGUCCGAGUAUCGUUCUCCCAAAUGACUCUUAGGCCUUAUCUUUCAUGUAAAUUGAUCUUAUAAGACUUGAGAAAGAAAUAAUUUUGUAGUGAGAAUGCAAAACGAAAAUAAACAUGCAAAUGCAAGUGAAUCAACUAGCAAAGAAAAGAUAUGAAUGAAUGGAGUUGUUGGGGUUUACAAUUUCAUCUUAUCCGGCCUCUUAUAUCUACUUUUCUUAUUUAAUUCGCUUUAUUAUCUAAUUGCCAUGCAAACUUUUUUAUAUACUCUAAACCCAAUCCUUUGGCGAAAAGAGCCUACUAUUAAUUACUAGUUUACUAUCUCUAGUCUCCUUGAGUAAUUAAUAAUGCAUUAAAGUACAGAAGCAAAAUACAAUUGAUCGUCCUACUCCUAUCUCUAGGCAGUAUUGCUUAAUCAUGGAAUUUCCUAUCAGUUCAUGACUUCCCCAUACGUCUCCAUAUCAACAAAGGCAAAUAUCUUCUUACCGAAUGAGUUAAACAAUAGAAGCAUUAAGCAUAGAUAAGAAACCCAACAAUUGAUAAUAUAAGCAUGUGAAUACAAUAAGAAUUUAAAUAUAAGAGAGUUUCAAAAGAUUACAUUGUUUCCCAAUAACAAAGGGUUUAAUUCACCAUAGUCAUGGUGAAACUAGAUGGAAUUAAACGAAAGAAUGGAAGAGUAAACCCUAGAUUUGAUGAAUUGGAGCCUAAGCAUCCAAAAAAUCGCCUCUAAGGAGUGUAGAAGUGCUCUGGACGUCUCUGCUUGCCAAAAGAUUACUUUGAGGGUCGCACUGGGGCUAUUUAUAAAGCAUAAAAAUAACAGAAUUUAAGCCCAAGCCCAGCAUUCCACUACUCAACGCCUAAUUUGGCCGCUCAGCGGUUUCCUUCCAAGCCGCAGGCCGCUCAGCGGUCCAGUCUGUCGCUCAGCGGUUUGCCUCCUAAUUAUAGGACACUCAGCGCUGUCGCUCAAGCAAGAAAUAGUGACUUCGCCCACGAGAUUAGCGCUCAACGCUGGAAUUUGGCGUUGAGCGGUGAACUUAACUCUUCUUUUCUUCCUUUUUUACUCUUUUCUUGAGUCUAAGUCCUCCCUACUUCACUUCCAUCUUUAAUUCUCAUCAAAACCCUACAAAACAAUGCAAAAACAAGCAUAAUAUCUCUAAAAACAACUUUUGACUCUCAUGUGACUCCAUUAAGUGUUUUACUUGAUUCUAAGCUCAUUCUAAGCCAUAAAGGGUGUGUUUUGAUAGUAAAUUGAAGCAUAAAAACAACGGUUUUCAGAAUGUUAUCAUGUACUUAAUAUUGUACUCUGAUUAUCGAACGAACUAGUCAACUGACUUUGGCAUCGGAGGACCUUUGCCAGGUACCUUCCCGAACGGACUUUGGCGGAAAAAGACGAAGGAGAUGAAGAGGACGGACGAUGGAGAACUGAAACUAUGAAGGGAUUAGGUGACUCGAUCUCACACCGGAUCAUUUUGGUGCCCACUAUGGGGCCAAGUAUCUAAACCCAAUGGUAGUCACGAGGAAUAUGACCACUAAGGACCAAAUGGAGAUGAUAAGGAUGAUGCAACAAAAGAUGAAGGACAUUCAAUGGCAGCAUGAAUAGGAGUUAGUGACAGUAAGGGCGGAAUGCACUGCCCGCAUAACCAAAGAAAGGGGAAUAGAGGGUUGUGGCAAGGAGAAAGUAAUAGAAGAGAGCGGUGGAGAAAAGGAAAAUGAAGGGCAAGACCGGACUCGCCGAGAGGGCACAAGCGAGCACAGCAGUGCCUCCGACCGAACGUGGAAGCUGGAAGAGUCAGGAGCAGACAAGAACAAAGGAAAAAACGACCAGGUGGACAAUACCGUAGCAAGCAGACAACCGACGGUGAAAGAAGAGGAUGCGACUUGCCAGCUACCCUUCGUUCAGGCGAUCAUGGAUGUAAACAUAUCCGAGCACUUUGUUCCUCCCCAAUUGAGCAUUUAUGACGGGACAACCGAUCCCGAUGAUCACAUUAAGGCCUUCUCCACACGGAUGGCAUUCCGAACGAGCAACCGCGCUUUCUGGUGUCGAGCUUUCUCUCUACCACUAAAAGGGGAGGCUCUUGAGUGGUUCAACUCUUUACCGCCGAAUUCCAUUGAGAAUUUCGAAGGACUGAAAGCCAUGUUCGGCAGGCAAAUUUCUAGCAGCCGCUCCUAGGAUCUGAUGGUCUUCGAACUCUCGAACCUCAAGCAAGGGAAAAAGGAGACGUUGAAGGCCUUCAUGGACCGUGAUCAUAAGAUGGUUAGGAAGGUGAAGGGGUUCAGCAUUGAGCUAGCCCUCCAGUAUGUCAUGCCGGCAUUGAGACCGAGGCCUUUCAAAGACAGCAUAUUCCGAAGACAUCCCAAGACCAUGGAAGGGUUGAGAGAGCGAGCGGCCGAUGAAGUGAGGGUGGAGGAGAUGAAGCAGCCAUACAGGAAGGAAGUUCAGGAGGCUAAGGAAAAGGCCGAGAGCAAGAAGCCGGAUGGUCAAUCUGGAAGAGUUAGAGGAUUCAAGCCGAGAGAGCCCCCACAGAGCCUUGGUUCCAACAAUACACCCCCUGAAUGCACCUCGUGCACGGAUUUUGCAAGAGGCACUUAGUACCAACCUCAUCCCACCACUAAAAAAGCGCCCCACACGACCUAGAGCCGAUGACAAUAAACACUGCCUCUAUCAUCAAAACUUAGGGCAUACCAUCGAGGAAUGUGUCACCCUAAGGGACCAGAUCAAAGAACUGAUCAGAGCCGGUCAGUUAAAAAAGUAGGUCAAAACCACCCAUAGUAUUGUGCUGGCUGAACGACAAAGAAGUCCAAGAAGAAGCCCGGUAGGGAGAGACGACCGCUAUUGUAGCGAAAGUCGCCGGCCAUAUUACAGAGAGGACCGAUCUAGGUUCGAGAAGCGACGUAGUAGGAGCCAUAGCCAAAGUGGCGACCGUCCAAUACGGGGUCGUAUUAAUACUAUAUCUGGCGGCUUCGUUGGGGGAGGCCCAUCCUCAUCGACAAGGAAACGCCAUGUCAGGGCGCUACCCUCGGUCAACAACAUUCGAAUGGUAAGAAAGUCCAUGCCGCCUAUAAUCUUCACAGAUGAAGAUUUUCAUGCACCAGAUCUCGAGCAGGAUGACCCCAUGGUAAUCACUGCAGAAAUCGCCCGGUACGAGGUCGACAAAGUCCUAAUAGAUCAAGGAAGCUCCGUUAACAUCCUCUAUUGGAAGACUUUCCAACAGAUGGAUCUGUCUUAUGACCUCAUUGUACCCUUCCCCAAACAGAUAGUAGGAUUUCCUGGUGAGAGGGUGGACACUCGUGGUUAUGUUGAUCUGCGUACGCGACUAGGCACUGACAGGGAAGGCGAUGAGAAGAAGGUUCGGUACCUGCUAGUAGAUGCAAACACUUUUUAUAAUGUUCUGAUGGUUCACCCUUGCCUAAACGCUUUCGGUGCGAUCGUAUCUACACCCCCACUUGACCUUGAAGUAUCCGACCGAUCGGGGGUGGGUGAUGAUAGUUCGAGCGGAUCAAAAAACGAGAAGGGAGUAUUAUGUAGUCGAAAUGAAGUUGUACCCUCGAGCCUACCGAGCGAAGGUUACCCGGUCGAAGGUAGCGAUGGCCGAUCUAGAUCCGCGCAUAAAUACAGACGAUCGAAUUGAACCGCACGGGGAGCUGCACCCGCUCAGGAUAGGGGCGAAGGAAGGCCAAACCACCAUGAUAGCAAGCGGUUUAGACCCGGUUUUGGAGAAGGAAUUAAAAGAAACUCUAUGGAAGGACCAUGACCUAUUCGUGUGGACAAUGAUAGACAUGCCCGUCAUCCACCCUUCGAUAUUGACACAUAGGUUGGCCCUGUUCAAGGAGGUGAAGCCGGUGGCGCAGAAGAAGUGAAGACUCGGGGCCGAGAAGGCAGCGACCGUCAAUGAGGAAGUAUGGAAGUUGAAGGAAGCCGAAUUCAUCCAUGAGGUGACCUACACCACAUGGUUAGUGAACGUAGUCAUGGUCAGGAAGACUAACGACAAAUGGCAAAUGUGUACUGACUACACCGACCUCAACAAAGCUUGUCCAAAAGACUCACACCCGCUUCCCAUUAUAGAUAGCUUGGUAAAUGGAGCUUCCGGCCACAAGAUGCUAAGUUUUCUCGACGCUUACUCGGGUUACAAUCCGAUACCCAUGCAUGCGCCAGACAGGGAUAAAUGACGUUUAUAACAAAGAGAAGGAAUUAUUGCUAUGAUGUGAUGUCGUUGGGGCUUAAGAACGCGGGAGCUACGUACCAAAGGAUGAUGGAUAAAAUAUUCGCCAACCAAAUUGGUCGUUGUAUGGAUGUAUAUGUGGACGAUAUGGUAGUCCAUUCAGCUACCCCGUCCUAUCACCUCAAAGAUUUGGAAGAAGUGUUUCGGCAGGUGCGGCAUUAUAAUAUGAGACUAAACCGCACAAAGUGUACCUUUGGACUGGCCGUAAGGAAGUUCCUAGGAUUUAUGUUGACCGACCCAAGCAUAGAGGCGAACCCGAACAAGUGCGAUGUCGUCCUUGGCAUGAGGAGCCCUAUUAAAUUGAAGGAAAUCCAGCGGCUAGACGGGCGAUUAACUUCCUUCUCUCGCUUUAUUCCCAAUUUGGCGGGAUGAUCCUCACCAAUUCCCAAUUUGGCGGGACGAUCCUCACCAAUCCGCCAGUUAUGAACCGACCUUUCCCCAAUACUGAUUUGUAGGUCUAUGUGGCCGUAUCGGCCGAGGCCAUCAGCGCCACGUUAGUGCAGGAACGACCGGAACCUUGUCUCAUUUACUUUGUAAGUAGGGUGUUACAAGCAGCCAAGACGCGAUACCAGCAGGUGGAAAAGGUCGCUUUGGCCCUUCUCAAUGGUGCACGAAGGUUGCGCCCAUAUUUCCAUAGUCACCAGAUAGUCGUCUGAAUGGACUACCCAAUGUCAAAGAUUCUGAGGAAACCUGACGUAGCGGGACGCAUGGUAGGAUGGGCCGUAGAGUUGUUUGAGUUCGGGCUGCGCUACAAACUCCGAGAAUCCGUCAAGGGCCAACAUUUAGCUGAUUUUGCAGUGGAGUUGCCGCAAGCCCUACAAAGUGAGCAAUGGAGUUUGUAUGUAGAUGGAGCGGUCAGUCAAGCGCGGAAGAAGCAGGAAUGGUUUUGGAAAGGCCCGACGAUUUUCGUUCGAACAGUCCCUCAUUUUCAAGUUUAAGGCCUUAAAUAACCAGGCUGAGUUUGAGGCUCUAAUUGCAGGUUUGCAAUUGGCCCAAGACAUGGGAGCGAGUCUCCUGGUCUGCCGAACUGAUUCCCAAUUGGUGGUAGGUCAGAUGAAUUGAGAAUUUCAAGUCAAAGACGAUCAAUUGCUCUGGUACUUCCAUAAGGUUAUUGCCUUAACCAAGGAAUUCAAGGAAUUUAUUCUCAGGCAUAUUCCCCGUGAAGAAAACGCAUGGGUCGACAUGCUAUCCAAGCUUUGUAGCGGCAAAGAGAAAGGACAAUUGACGACUGUCAUUCGAUAGGUACUGACGAAACCGUCAGUGGAGUGCUUAGCAAUAAAAUGCCCUAAAGAACCCGAUUGGCGGAUGGAAAUUCGAAACUUGAUGCAAGAUCAAGAUGCCGGAUGACCGGUCAAGCCAACAAGUGCCUGAAAAAUUGCUCGAUAUGUUAUCAUCGGGAGCGACCUAUACCGAAGAGGCUUUUCUACCCCUUUACUCAAAUGCGUGAAUCCCCAUGAAGCCUCCUACAUAAUGGAUGAACUCCAUAACGGGAUUUAUGGAUUUCACAUCGGGAGGCGAACCCAAAAGGCACGGGCCCUCCGGGCCUGUUAUUUUUGGCCGACCAUGGAAGAGGAUGCCAAAACUUUCGUGCAAAAAUGCUUAAAGUGCCAAGCCCACACAAAUAUAUUACAUGCCCCCCGAAUGAAUUACACAUUUUUGUAUCUCCUUGGCCAUUUGCAAAGUGGGGGAUGGAUAUUGUGGGACCAUUCCCAAACGGUCGAGCCGAGAAAAGGUUUAUCCUUGUUGCGGUCGAUUACUUCACGAAGUGGGUAGAAGCCGAGGCACUUGCCACCAUAACUGCCUGACAAGUUUAAAGUUUCUUCUGGAAAAUAAUAUGUAGGUUCGGGCUCCCAAGAACGGUCGUCACGGACAACGGCCGACAGUUCAUCGACAAAAAACUAAAGGCAUUUUACGUGGGUUUGGGCAUCAAACAUGUCACGAGUUCGGUGGAGCAUCCUUAGACGAAUGGCCAGGCCGAGGCAGCUAACAAAAUGAUCGUCGCAGAGCUCAAGAGGAGGUUAGGAGAAAAGAAAGGAGCUUGGGUGGACGAGCUUCCGGAGGUCCUAUGGGCCUACCGGUGUACGCCGCACAGUGUAACCACGAAGUCUCCAUUCAACUUAACAUACGACAUAGACGCCAUGUUACCUGUUGAAUGGGGAGAACCUUCCUUAAGACGGUAGAUUGAAGACUUGUAGGUUAACGAUGGGGAGUUAAGAAUCGAGCUCGAUACAUUGGACGAACGAAGAGACCGUGCCAUCCUCCACGCGAAAGCUUGCAGGCGAAUGGUAUAAAGGAAGUACAACACAAGGUGCAACCCUGGAACUUCCAAGAAGGUGAUCUGGUAUGGAGAAAGAUUGGACAUGCCCGAAGGAUACUUCCCCACGGGAAAUUUGCCGCUAAGUGGGAUGACCCUUUCAAAAUUGCCGAAGACCUGCAAAAUGGAGCAUACCGUCUCUCUCUGCCAAGAGGAAAACCCCUCCGCAAUACUUGGAACACAUUCCACCUAAAAAUUUAUUUCAGUUAACUAUUCUUUAUGUACCUGUACUUUCCUUUUUGAGAAAUUUUGAAAUACAAAGACAACAUGGUGGGAUUCUUAUUCAAAUGUGAGGUUAAAGCGUAACCAACUAUGCUAACCCAUACAUCGGGCGGUGAACGGCGAGUUCAUGAAGAACCACUACCGCCCCAUCAACUAACAUACCAGGUGGUGAACGACGAGUUCAUAAAGAACCACUGCCACCCAGCUGACCCACAUAUCACGUGGUGAACGACGAGUUCAUGAAGAACCAUUGCCACCCGAACGACAAAUACAUCGGGCGGUGAACGACAAGUUCAUGAAGAACCACUACCGCCCGAUCAACUAACAUACCAGGUGGUGAACAGCGAGUUCAUAAAGAAGCACUACCACCCGGCUAACCCACUUACUGGGUGGUGAACGACGAGUUCAGGAAGAACCACUGCCACCCGGCCGACACAUACAUCAGGCGGUGAACGACGAGUUCAUGAAGAACCACUAUCGCCCGAUCAACUAACAUACCAGGUGGUGAACGACGAGUUCAUAAAGAACCACUGCCACCCAGCUAACCCACAUACCGGGUGGUGAACGACGAGUUCGUGAAGAACCAUUGCCACCCGGCCGACACAUACAUCGGGCGGUGAACGGCGAGUUCAUGAAGAACCACUACCGCCCGAUCAACUAACAUACCGGGUGUUGAACGGCGAUUUCAUAAAGAACCACUACCACCCGGCUAACCCACUGACCGGGUGGUGAACGCUGAGUUCAUGAAGAACCACUACCACCCGGCCGACACAUACAUCAGGCGGUGAAUGGCGAGUUCAUGAAGAACCAUUGCCACCCGGCUGACCCAUACAUCGGGUGGUGAACAGCGAAUUCACAAAGAACCAUUACCACCUAGUACAUCUACGUAUCGAAUGGAAAAGCACACUAAGUGCUAAAUACAUUGAGAAAAAUGACCGAACGGUAUGAGACAAUAUAACUUGUGCAAAUUACAAAUGCUAGUCGUAUGCAUAGGCACUAAUUACGAAUGAAUAGUAAAAGACAGAGUAAUUUGUGGUGAAGAAAGAUUUAAAACGUAAGUCGUAUUCAUGUCCAAAAAAUCUUGUGGGGCUGUACAACGCAUAUACGGCCGAUAGGCCACCAAAACGAACAAAAUCAAAGUUGUCAACUGGUCCUAACAAUUUGAAAAGCAAAAAUUCCCCUACCCACAAAGAAAAGUUGUCACUGACCACCUUCGGCACUAUCAUCACCAACAUCUUGAUCAGCAUGUUCCCCGCCGGCAUCUUCUUCACCCGCAUCCUCUUCUGUUGGCUCCUCUUCCCCAUCCGAAACGGGAACUGGCAUCAUCUUCCCGUCGAAGACAUCUUGAGCGAUGUCGAACCUGGAAGAGAGGGGUCUGCUCCCAACAAGUAAGCAGCCUGCCGAACAGCCUUGUUGAACACUUUUUCGUGCUUGAUUUGGACAUUCUCAUUCAAGAGCUCAAUAGACUUGUUGGCUUUGAGUAGCUCCUACUCUAGCCGGACGUUCUCUGUGCACAAGUCGGCCAGUUCCCCUUCCUGCUCCUUCGAUUUUUCUCCCACCUGCCGCAAAGCCAAUUUUAGUCGGCUAGUCUCUUUCUCCCCCUCAUCACACUUCACUUGAAGGUCUUGGGUCACCUCACACUUAGAGUGUUUGAGGGAAAGCGCCUCUAGAGCCGCUUUAGCCUCUUUAGUGGCCUUCUUCUCCGCCGCCAACUCCUCCUGAACUUCUUCGGCCCCUCGGCGGUCAGCAAAACCCUCGACGUACCACAUCACCAUGGCACCACCAGUAGUAAGCUCUGCAUGACUUUGGUAAUCUCCCUUUUAGACAGAUUCUCGACCGUCACCCACUGAGUGGAGCUCAUUCAUAAAUCAACCCGGUCGCUCACGCCGAAGGACAGAUCGAGCAGGCCACCCGGAAGAGGCCGGGGAGAACUUUCCCGCUUAUUUUUCUUAGAAGACGAUUUUUCACCCUCCUUAGAUUUUCAUUUCUUCUUGGAGGAACGGGUGGAUUGGCCGGUGCUUGGGUGGAAGCGGCUGCGGUAGCGCUCGAAGACUCUACGUUCACCACCGGAGGAGGAACAACAACUAGGGGCACCUCGGAAAUUGGGGGAACCUCCACGGACAGCUUCGUUUGAGACUGAGCCGUAGCGGUUAGAGUCGGACGGUCGCGGAUCCCUCUGACGCGAAGGCGAAACGUAAAAUGUCUUGCGGGGGGUCGAGAACGACAUGGCACCUGCAAAGAAAAUAGAAAUUUAGAUAAGUUAAUAUCAAAGAAAUAAGUGGGUGGAUACUAACAUCAUACCGAACGCCACAUUAGUAAAAUCCUCAUAGAAAAGAUAGUCAACCAACUAACGGGCGUGAAGACGGCGAGGUAGAUCAUUGAUGGUUUUAACAACCUCGACCUCAAUGGGGGUCAUGUCAUCGUUCUAGACGGAGCUUAUUCUGACAAGAUUCCUGGUCCAAUAAAAAGGGAACAAAGGUUCCCCGACAUCAUUGCGAAAUUGGUUGCGACCGCCCUCCUUUAUUAUUAUUUUGAUGUACCUAGUCUUGAAGUUCUUGAAAGACUCUGAAUAAGGCUUGAACAAGCAAUUAUCCUGGACGGACAUCAGCGAUACCCAACCCCAUUUAGAAAGCGGCUGGAUGUGGUAAUAAUGAAAAACUACGGAGACGGAUGGUGUGAUUGCUAAGGCCAAACACAUCACUACGAACACCUGAAUGCAGGUCCACCCGUUCGGGUGUAACUGAGUAGGAGCGACAUUCAUCUUUCGUAGGAUGGUCGCCUGAAAACGAGUGAAGGGCACCCACACAAACAUCCAGUUGAAUAGAUACGUGUAUAAGAAAAAGAAAUCUUCGGUACUCGUCCCCUUCCCAUGGAAGACCCGUUUGUUGGGGUAGCUUACGCUCAAGCGGAUCAGUUGAGCAUCUGCCUCGUCUCGGGCCAAGAAUGACUGGUUGACCCACUCUAGCAGGUUAUCCCUAUUCUUGUACUCGGAUUCAUAGGAUCCACGUCAUGCGAAGCCCACCCAUAAACACCUAUGGUCGGCCAUCCGCCGACGGGUUCUGCCCUCAUGGCGUCCACUUCGACCCCGCCCUCUAAGAGGAACAAAGACGCUCCGUGUAUUGUCCGGUCACCGCUGAGCUCCAAAGACCCAAGAGACCCCCUCGCCCUGUCAGACAUCUCGACCCGGGAUGAUGACCCCGAGCUACGAGAAGAAGUCUCGCUGCCGCUGGAGGAGCCCCCGCCGUCCCACCUGCUGAACUAGUAGAAGAAGACAAUGGAACGACAACCAUUUAUUUACCUAAGUUUAUUGUAACUGGAAGGCUGCAGUAAAAAGAGAAAGGAUGAAGGUGAAAAUGACCCAUCGUUCACUCUUAUUUAUAGCAAAAUUUUUGAAACUGCUAAAUACAUCCUCAUCGUUAAAUAAAAGCACAACGAAGGGCCUAGAUUGAAAGGACUCUUCCACUACCCGAGACCACCCGCCUAUGGACACCUAACAUGUGUUUUCCCGUCUCAAUUCAAACUUCAGGCACACAAAAUGAUUCAACCCUCUUUUUAAACCCUACGACGAGUACUCGUCUAAGGCUUUGGGGGCCUGGUCUACUGGGAACCUCUGGACGACUUAGAACGGUCGGAUGUAGAGAACCGAACAAUCAACUUUAGACGUUUCUGUUUAUGGUCCCCGACGUCUAUAGUUCUUCACUCAUCGGUUAUAUCUGGCCUCGACGUCUAUUUGCCCCACUUAAUUAUGAAGUUGCCACCGGUCAUCGUGUUACGUCAGUCGACCAAACAACCGACGUCUAUGUGGUGACGUUAAAUAACGUUUUUCUACUAGUAAUUUGUGCUAUCUAUGUAAAUAUAUUGCACAGUCUGAAGAAUUAUUUUUUUUUAUUUUUAUUCAAACUUCAAACAAAUAACAAAAGUGAAUUGUUUUAUUUAAAUUAACAUUUAUCAUAUUCAUGAAAGUGUUGUAAUCAAACAGAUACUAAAAUUCAUGCAAAAUAUAUAGUAAAACAAUCAACUCAAAAAAACAAGCACUUUUAUAUUGCAAAGCAUACAUAUUCAUUUAUAUGCAUCACAUGCAGCAUUACACACUUCAAAGCACUGACAUGUUCAUGCAAAUUUAUUCCAUUCAAACAAAGGACCUACAUUAUAAUAAGAACACUCCUCGAACAUCACAACCAUUAUUCUAAGGGCCACUCCAUUAUUUCUUCUUUUACUUUAAAUUUCUUCUUGGAGUUAUGCCUUCACAAGAUUACUAUCAAUAUCUCUGGUGCAGUUGUGCAGGUACUCGAUGUAACCAUAUGGAGGAUGAACUUCUUCAUUAAGUUUCUCAUAUUCAAUGGUCCAUUUGAUAAUAGCACCACCGUUCUCCUUAUCAAUUGCUUGAAAUAUGAGGUUAAACACCUUAA
This 43564-nucleotide long non-coding RNA is filed under the name Vigna radiata. RNAcentral's name for it is "long non-coding RNA (VRAD_LNC011941)". The record is from RNAcentral. Lineage: Eukaryota; Viridiplantae; Streptophyta; Magnoliopsida; Fabales; Fabaceae.